UCCGGCUUGUCACCGGCAGUUCCGCCAAAGUGCCCAACUUAAUGAUGGCAACUGGCAGCAGGGGUUGCGUUCGUUGCGGGACUUAACCCAACAUCUCACGACACGAACUGACGACAGCCAUGCAACACCUGUGUGAAAUCCAGCCGAACUGACUGAAUGAUCUCUCAUUCAUACGAUUUCCAUGUCAAGAGCUGGUAAGGUUCUUCGCGUAGUUUCGAAUUAAACCACAUACUCCACCGCUUGUGCGGGUCCCCGUCAAUUCCUUUGAGUUUUAAUCUUGCGACCGUACUCCCCAGGCGGUGUGCUUAUCGCGUUAGCUGCGACACUGAAUAGCUAAACUAUCCAACAUCUAGCACACAUCGUUUACAGCGUGGACUAC
This 379-nucleotide unclassified non-coding RNA is filed under the name uncultured Alphaproteobacteria bacterium. RNAcentral's name for it is "contains 16S-23S intergenic spacer region". The record is from RNAcentral. Lineage: Bacteria; Pseudomonadati; Pseudomonadota; Alphaproteobacteria.